AGGUGGUGCAUGGGUUGUCGUCAGCUCGUGUCGUGAGAUGUUGGGUUAAGUCCCGCAACGAGCGCAACCCUCGCCUCUAGUUGCCAGCAUUCGGUUGGGCACUCUAGAGGGACUGCCGGCGACAAGUCGGAGGAAGGUGGGAGUGACGUCAAAUCAUCAUGCCCCUUAUGACCUGGGCUACACACGUGCUACAAUGGGCGGUACAAAGGGCUGCGAACCCGCGAGGGGGAGCGAAUCCCAAAAAAGCCGCUCUCAGUUCGGAUUGCAGGCUGCAACUCGCCUGCAUGAAGCCGGAAUCGCUAGUAAUCGCGGAUCAGCAUGCCGCGGUGAAUACGUUCCCGGGCCUU
This 347-nucleotide ribosomal RNA is filed under the name uncultured Geobacillus sp. Its description in RNAcentral is "bacterial SSU rRNA". It matches the Rfam family "Bacterial small subunit ribosomal RNA", at positions 1036 to 1382 of the family's 1533-position model. Lineage: Bacteria; Bacillati; Bacillota; Bacilli; Caryophanales; Anoxybacillaceae. The record is from RNAcentral.